UGCUUAACACAUGCAAGUCGAACGGUGAACCUUGGAGCUUGCUUCGAGGGGAUCAGUGGCGAACGGGUGAGUAACACGUGAGUAACCUGCCCCGGACUCUGGAAUAAGCGCUGGAAACGGCGUCUAAUACCGGAUACGAGACGCAACCGCAUGGUUAGCGUCUGGAAAGUUUUUCGGUCUGGGAUGGACUCGCGGCCUAUCAGCUUGUUGGUGAGGUAAUGGCUCACCAAGGCGACGACGGGUAGCCGGCCUGAGAGGGCGACCGGCCACACUGGGACUGAGACACGGCCCAU
This 293-nucleotide ribosomal RNA is filed under the name Janibacter sp. UII. Its description in RNAcentral is "partial 16S ribosomal RNA". It matches the Rfam family "Bacterial small subunit ribosomal RNA", at positions 45 to 334 of the family's 1533-position model. Lineage: Bacteria; Bacillati; Actinomycetota; Actinomycetes; Micrococcales; Intrasporangiaceae. The record is from RNAcentral.